This 123-nucleotide small RNA is filed under the name Marmota monax (woodchuck). The record is from RNAcentral. Lineage: Eukaryota; Metazoa; Chordata; Mammalia; Rodentia; Sciuridae.
GCCGGGCACAGUGGCACAUGCCUAUAAUCCCAGUGACUUGGAAGGCUGAGGCAGGAGGAUCACAAGUUUGAGGCCAGCCUCAGCAACUUAGGCCCCAAGAAACUUAUUGAGACCCUGUCUCAA